GAACCUGCGGAAGGAUCAUUACCGAGUGCGGGUCCUUUGGGCCCAACCUCCCAUCCGUGUCUAUUGUACCCUGUUGCUUCGGCGGGCCCGCCGCUUGUCGGCCGCCGGGGGGGCGUCUCUGCCCCCCGGGCCCGUGCCCGCCGGAGACCCCAACACGAACACUGUCUGAAAGCGUGCAGUCUGAGUUGAUUGAAUGCAAUCAGUUAAAACUUUCAACAAUGGAUCUCUUGGUUCCGGCAUCGAUGAAGAACGCAGCGAAAUGCGAUAACUAAUGUGAAUUGCAGAAUUCAGUGAAUCAUCGAGUCUUUGAACGCACAUUGCGCCCCCUGGUAUUCCGGGGGGCAUGCCUGUCCGAGCGUCAUUGCUGCCCUCAAGCCCGGCUUGUGUGUUGGGUCGCCGUCCCCCUCUCCGGGGGGACGGGCCCGAAAGGCAGCGGCGGCACCGCGUCCGAUCCUCGAGCGUAUGGGGCUUUGUCACAUGCUCUGUAGGAUUGGCCGGCGCCUGCCGACGUUUUCCAACCAUUCUUUCCAGG
This 532-nucleotide ribosomal RNA is filed under the name Aspergillus niger. Its description in RNAcentral is "partial 18S ribosomal RNA". The stretch from base 208 to 361 matches the Rfam family "5.8S ribosomal RNA". Lineage: Eukaryota; Fungi; Ascomycota; Eurotiomycetes; Eurotiales; Aspergillaceae. The record is from RNAcentral.